This 467-nucleotide ribosomal RNA is filed under the name uncultured bacterium. RNAcentral describes it as "partial 16S ribosomal RNA". It matches the Rfam family "Bacterial small subunit ribosomal RNA", at positions 29 to 507 of the family's 1533-position model. The record is from RNAcentral.
ACGAACGCUGGCGGCGUGCUUAACACCUGCCAGUCGCACGGAAAGGCCCUGCUUUUGUGGGGUGCUCGAGUGGCGAACGGGUGAGUAACACGUGAGUAACCUGCCCUUGACUUUGGGAUAACUUCAGGAAACUGGGGCUAAUACCGGAUAGGAGCUCCUGCUGCAUGGUGGGGGUUGGAAAGUUUCGGCGGUUGGGGAUUGACUCGCGGCUUAUCAGCUUGUUGGUGGGGUAGUGGCUUACCAAGGCUUUGACGGGUUGCCGGCCUGAGAGGGUUACCGGCCACAUUGGGACUGAGAUACGGACCAGACUCCUACGGGAGACAGCAGUGGGGAAUAUUGCACAAUGGGCGGAAGCCUGAUGCAGCAACGCCGCGUGCGGGAUGACGGCCUUCGGGUUGUAAACCGCUUUCGCCUGUGACGAAGCGUGAGUGACGGUAAUGGGUAAAGAAGCACCGGCUAACUACGUG